This is a transfer RNA of Thermodesulfobacterium commune DSM 2178, 73 nucleotides long. It matches the Rfam family "tRNA". Rfam says of the family: Transfer RNA (tRNA) molecules are approximately 80 nucleotides in length. Lineage: Bacteria; Pseudomonadati; Thermodesulfobacteriota; Thermodesulfobacteria; Thermodesulfobacteriales; Thermodesulfobacteriaceae. The record is from Rfam.
GGGCCGGUAACUCAGUCGGUAGAGUAUCGGCCUUUUAAGCCGAGAGUCGCAGGUUCGAGUCCUGCCCGGCCCA